This 254-nucleotide ribosomal RNA is filed under the name uncultured bacterium. RNAcentral's name for it is "partial 16S ribosomal RNA". It matches the Rfam family "Bacterial small subunit ribosomal RNA", at positions 524 to 776 of the family's 1533-position model. The record is from RNAcentral.
CACGUAGGGGGCAAGCGUUGGUCCGGAUUUAUUGGGCGUAAAGAGCGUGUAGGCGGCCAGGUAGGUCCGUUGUGAAAACUCGAGGCUCAACCUCGAGACGUCGAUGGAACCAUCGUGGCUAGAGUCCGGAAGAGGAGAGUGGAAUUCCUGGUGUGCGGUGAAAUGCGCAGAUAUCAGGAAGAACACCCGUGGCGGAAGGCGGCUCUCUGGGACGGUACUGACGCUGAGACGCGAAAGCGUGGGGAGCGAACAGG